This 520-nucleotide ribosomal RNA is filed under the name uncultured Glomus. RNAcentral's name for it is "SSU rRNA". It matches the Rfam family "Eukaryotic small subunit ribosomal RNA", at positions 569 to 1090 of the family's 1831-position model. Lineage: Eukaryota; Fungi; Glomeromycota; Glomeromycetes; Glomerales; Glomeraceae. The record is from RNAcentral.
AGCAGCCGCGGUAAUUCCAGCUCCAAUAGCGUAUAUUAAAGUUGUUGCAGUUAAAAAGCUCGUAGUUGAAUUUCGGGGUUAGUAGGUUGGUCAUGCCUCUGGUAUGUACUGGUCUCACUGAUUCCUCCUUCCUGAUGAGCCGUAAUGCCAUUAAUUUGGUGUUGCGGGGAAUUUGGACUGUUACUUUGAAAAAAUUAGAGUGUUUAAAGCAAGCUAACGCUUGAAUACAUUAGCAUGGAAUAAUGAAAUAGGACGUUCGAUCCUAUUUUGUUGGUUUCUAGGAUUGACGUAAUGAUUAAUAGGGAUAGUUGGGGGCAUUAGUAUUCAAUUGUCAGAGGUGAAAUUCUUGGAUUUAUCGAAGACUAACUACUGCGAAAGCAUUUGCCAAGGAUGUUUUCAUUAAUCAAGAACGAAAGUUAGGGGAUCGAAGACGAUCAGAUACCGUCGUAGUCUUAACCAUAAACUAUGCCGACUAGGGAUCGGAUGAUGUUAAUUUUUUAAUGACUCAUUCGGCGCCUUA